Molecule: long non-coding RNA, 1175 nt
Organism: Canis lupus familiaris (dog)
Lineage: Eukaryota; Metazoa; Chordata; Mammalia; Carnivora; Canidae
Exons: 3
Source: RefSeq, a predicted model, not a curated record
CAAGGAUUGUCUCUAAACAAAUUUUAAAAUUCCGUCCACCAAAUGAGAGAUUGAGAGAGAGAAAGAGGGAGAGACCUUAUCUCUCCACAACAACUUAAUUCACCUUAAAUUUCUUCUCUUCCUCUGCCUCUAGGCAAAAUUGUACAUUCCAAAGAUUGCGUAGAUGAACAUGACCAGGAAGAUGAGAAGACUGAUGUUCAACAAUGCUGGGAGAGACAAUAUCAAAGGAAGUAGCAGAUCAUGGAACACCUUUGGUCCUUUCCCAGGACGCAGGAUGUGGAUAAUCCGUGACAUUCGUAUCAAUUCCACGAUGGAAGGAGACACAAGGCUACAUCUUCCAAGAUGAAGAAACAGAUUGUUACUUCAGGUGGCUGACUUCACUUCAGCAUUAUCCCAGGAAGACAUACAAUGACAUCUUCAUGGGUUCUGCAAACCCACAAGGAAUAUAAUGAGGAGAGUGCUAUUCCUGGUUCUGAAGCAUGCAUCUAAAUUUCCUUGGGACAUGCUAGCACAAGGACUGGGCAGGUUAAUUGAUUCUCUGUGGUAAUAAAUUUUGUUAAAUAAGAAAGAGAUGAGUGAUGGAAGAAUCAUUCCUAAUACUUGUAAGUUAUUUGAAUUCAAGGAGGGUGUAUAUUUUGACCUUUACUAUCACUAAGAGAUAUGAUCAAACCAUGUUUAGUUUCCAGAGAAUCAUACUUUUAUCUUGUUUGUAAUUGUAGGAUAUAAAUAAUAUUUUUGGACUUUAGAGCUGGAGAUUCAUAUUGGUAAUUCUUUUAGACUUAAAAUAAUAAUUUGAGCAUCUUGCUUGUUAUGGAAGUUUUUCUGCCUCUCUUUGGAUAUCUGAACUUUUAAUGAUUUAGUUUCCUUUAUGUUUUAUACAUUGCUUUUAAUGAACCAAGUUCAAAUGACAUGAAUUGUGUUUAAGAAUAUAUUAAGAAUAAUGUUAAGAAUAGAUUUCUUAUAUCUUAGAUACACAUAUCCUACACACAAUACCUGCAGAUUUACAUAUACAAUAAAAAUGUUAAAAAGCUGAAAUGAAAUUCUAAAUGAUAGAACUGAAAUUUGAACCCAUGGAUCUGAACUGUUUUUCUUGGAUCUGAACUCUGUUUUUAUCUACAGCUCAAUGCUACAUGUAAGUAUUUAAAAGUCAAUUAAAUACUUGCUUUUGUAUAUGA